This 253-nucleotide ribosomal RNA is filed under the name uncultured bacterium. RNAcentral's name for it is "partial 16S ribosomal RNA". It matches the Rfam family "Bacterial small subunit ribosomal RNA", at positions 524 to 776 of the family's 1533-position model. The record is from RNAcentral.
GACGGAGGAUGCAAGUGUUAUCCGGAAUCACUGGGCGUAAAGCGUCUGUAGGUGGUUUAAAAAGUCCACUGUUAAAAAUUGAAGCUUAACUUCAAAGAUGCAAUGGAAACUUUUAAACUUGAGUAUGGUAGGGGUAGAGGGAAUUUCCAGUGGAGCGGUGAAAUGCGUAGAUAUUGGAAAGAACACCAAUGGCGAAGGCACUCUACUGGGCCAUUACUGACACUGAGAGACGAAAGCUAGGGGAGCAAAUGGG